UAGUCACUGCUCGAGGACUUGCAUCAUUCUCUCUGUUCAAUGAAUUGCCCCAUAUCUCAACAAAGAUCUACAAUUUUUAAAACAAGAUACAAAUGGAGAAACAACUGAUCUAAACUUUAUUUCCAGCACCUUUCUGAAAGAUAGCUUGUAAUCCAUGUGGUUAACAUUCUUUCAAUCUCAUGCUGAUAUAUUAAUUUCAUAGUUUUAGCAAUAAUGUGUAUUUGCCAAGCACGCAUUCACACACAGCGUUCACUUUUUGGCUGAAGAAACCUUUGUUGCAACAGGCACUGAUGUGGCAGGAGAGGUUGUAGAGGUUGGACCAGGAGUAACAAAUUUCAAAACUGGUGACAAAGUUGUAGCUAUUCUAAGCCACCUUGUAAGUUCUCAUUCAAUAUUCUGGUUUUUUUUAUUUCCUUAUCUUCGUAAUUUUUCAAAUGAUUUACAUUGGUGAGGCGACCUCUAGAUUAUCUUUUUUUGGUUUAAUGGCUAUGUACACAAUUGGGGUCAACCUUACCCUCACUUGCGCCUUAAAUAAUGUAAUAUCAAAUAAGCCAGCUUGCAUCAACACGGCCUGAAGGUUACACGACAUGGAUGACUGGUUAUAAGCUAAAAAAUCAACAUGAAAGGGUUGGGGGUGAUUGGAAGAGUGAGAUAAUAAAAUUGUUGCAUUCAUCAUAUUAGAUAAAGCACAAGUAGAAAAUUGUUUCCAGGUAUUGACAGAGGUAUGAGUCAAUAACAAGUGUGAAUAAUUUAUAGCUAAAUCUGUCUAUUGUGUGAACAGCCAACCUUCAUGCCCUCAAUAUCUUUCAUGAAAGUGAACGGUGAAAUACAACUUUCAUCAAGGACUACUUGUUGUUUCUCUUCUCUAUAGGCAACUUAGUUUCCUCCCCUAAAAAGUAAAAUCAGAUAACUCUGUUUUGGACAUUUGAUCAGCUUCAAUGAAACACAAAAGCGAUACCUUAAUGUCGUCAUUGUAGCUACCUUUUUUGGAAAGAAAACGGGUCAAAGCCCUUGAUGCUUACGAAUAUUUUUUACUAGUUGUAGUUUGCCAACUUGAGGCACAUUAUAGAGGUUAGUUUGCUUAGAUGCCUUGCUCAUGGAUCUUGUAUACCAUUAAGUAUUACAUAGGAGUUUGGAUCUGGGACUUGGCACAUGCUAUCUACUUGGUUGUAAACAUAUGAAAAGUGCAUUUUAGCAUUUGGCAAUCUUAUGUGUAUGGAGGAAUUUUACCAUUGGUCUGUGAAUUUUGUUUCGUUCUGUUUCUUUGUUUAAUUGUUGUGUGUUCUACAAACAACAGAGUGGAGGUGGACUAGCUGAAUUUGCAGUGGCUAAGAAGAGCUUGUCAGUUGCAAGGCCACCUGAAGUUUCAGCAGCUGAAGGUGCAGGCUUGCCUGUUGCUGGGCUCACAGCUCACCAGGCUCUCACUCAAUCUGCUGGGGUCAAGCUUGAUGGAAGUGGUAACCGGAAAAAUAUUCUGAUCACUGCUGCCUCAGGUGGUGUAGGUCACUAUGCAGUUCAGCUUGCAAAGCUUGGAAACACUCAUGUGACUGCCACUUGUGGGGCUCGUAACAUCGAAUUUGUGAAGAGCUUAGGUGCUGAUGAGGUUCUGGAUUACAAAACCCCAGAAGGAGCGGCUCUGAAGAGCCAAUCUGGUAAGAAAUAUGAUGCUGUGAUCCACUGCGCUGCUGGUGUUCCUUGGAGCACUUUUGAGCCAAAUCUGAGUGAAAAUGGGAAGGUUAUAGAUAUCACUCCUGGCCUCAGUGCCAUGAUGACUUUUGCUUUUAAGAAACUUACCUUCUCCAAGAAGCAGCUGGUGCCGCUGCUUUUGAUUCCCAAUGGUGAGAACCUGAAUUAUCUUGUUAAUCUGGUAAAGGAGGGGAAGCUUAAAACAGUCAUCGACUCAAAGCAUCCAUUAAGCAGGGCUGAAGAUGCUUGGGCAAAGAGUAUCGAUGGUCAUGCUACUGGGAAGAUCAUUGUGGAGCCGUGAAUGAAAAUAAUGUGCUUGAAUUGCUAAAAUUUCUGCAACUGUGAGGUCUUUCCUGUACAAUGUGGAUCCGAUGGCAUACACAGCUGAUGAGGCAUUGUAUGAUGCGUGAUCUUGCACAGCAAUUUCUUUUGACUGGAUGUUUCCCUAAAUGAUAGGGUUUGGGUUGAGUUUAUUAACUGUUGAUUAUGUUUGUUAUUCAAUAUCAGAUGCUUCUUUCUUCAUUUUGGUGUUAUUUUAUUUAUUUAAUGACGUGAGACUCACCCUUAUGGGCUAAUUCUAGGUAUAGUUUGUCGUCUAGAGAAUUGAUGUCCAAUAUUGCAGGGGACAUUUCCACUAACUAUAACUAUGAAAAGGUAAAAAAAAUAAAAAGCGAUCACUUAGUUUUGUCCCUUUUUUUUCUCCAUUUAGAGAUAGGAUGAUGAGAGAGAAGGCCCGAAGAGAUUUUAGAGAGAGAAUCAGGCUGCUAGAGUGAUGACUCCGCCACCCGUUGUUGGAUCAGGCUAGUUUAUUAAUAUGUUGCACACCAUGAUAGGAUAUACAAUCUAACUGAUUGAAUUUUAAUAAUCUGUUGUCGUUUGAGAGAUAUCAUUAUUGGUAUUCUAUUGGAAAAAUUGAUUUCAGGGCAGUCGUAUUUGUCAGGUCAGUGCUCCUCUAGUCAUCGUUAGAUCUGCACUAUAUUGCUCAAGGAGAUUCAUCUGAGUAUCCUUUUUGUUCCCAACGGUAGAGAUCAGAUUUGCACAACCCUAGAAUUUUGUGAUUAUUGCUGAAAUUAAUGUUCAAGCAUGAACACUAAUUAUUCAAAAACUAGUUGAUUGGUUCAAAAAAACCUAAAAACCAAUUGACUGGUUCACCCCUCAUACCACUUCCUACACCACCACAGCCACUAAAUUAGACACCAAGAUUGCCCCUAAACCAUCACAGUACCCUAACAUAACAACAACAACAAAUACCAAACAUACCACCACCAACUCCAUCAACUCCAUCAACACAAAAAAUAAACCUCUUCUUUAGACCGGGGUCGAACCAUAAGGAGGUGAACUAUAUAAAUUACAAAUAAUAUAUAUAUUUAAUAAAAUAAAAAGUUUAUGAUAAUUUUAUGGGAUAUUAAUGUAAGAAUUAAACAAUGAUAAAACAAUUGUCAAGGUUAGAGGAUCUACUAAUAGUAUUAGAAAUAAGUAUAGUAUAAACUCUUUUUAUUAAUCAACUGGAAACCACACAUAAAGGAGGUUCCAAUCAGAUGAUUUAUCCUUAAUAGUUCAUUAAAAUUUUUUAACAUGAUCAUAUUAAUUAUCUUAUUUUGGUAACACCAUACUUUUAAAUAUUGUCAAGAAUUCAUGAUGUUAACUUAUGUUAAUAACAAAUCAAGUUCAUUUUAUAGCUAAAAGUGCCAAGCAUUUGUUGUAUCAAGUGUUAUACAACACAAAUCUAGAUUAACCAUUUAAGAAGCAAGGUAUUAAGAAUUAAUAAGAUAAAAAGAUUAAGACAUGUUAAUAACAAACUUUCUUAGAUAUAAACAUUGAAGUCCAUGUUGAGUUUAUAUUAUACAUAUUCUAACACUAUUAGUGAAACCUUUUCACCUUGACAUAAUAAACUUAGCUAAACAUAAUGAAGAAGAGAAACAUAAAUAAACAACAUAAGAACAUAAGUAUAGUAAAGGAAAUGAAAAGCAUAAACAAGAAAUUAAGGAAAAUAUAACAUGAAAUAAAACUUAAACAUUACAAAAAUAUAAGGAAAGAAAUAAAGAGCAUGAUCUUGAUCUGAACAAUCAAGAUGCUUAAAUGCAUGUCAAAUGCCUCCUUUUAUAGGCCAAAAUUUAGACUAUUGAUUUGAUGACUAAUUAUUGAGUGGGUUACCGCAUCUUGACUUGGUGACAAUCAUUAUCUUAUUGUCUGAACAAAAAGUCAUUGAUAUCAUCAGAAUUUGAACAUACUUAACUCAUGAAAGUUCUAGGAAAUUAUCUUAGCUUUUUAGCAAAAAACAAUUGAGGUCAUUUGAACUUCUAGAACUCAAGAUAUGGGUUGAACACUGAACAAUGUCUGGGUUGUAGGACAGAUUCAGACUUCUUUGUCAUUGCUACAAUUUGAACUUGAAAACGAUCUUUUUAAAUCUUGGAAUCCCAUGAAAGUUUUAGGCCUAUGUCUUAUCUUUCCAUCCAUAUAAAGCAGACCUAAAUCAAAGAUCUACAACUCUAGAUAUGACCCAAUUACCAAAUAGUGUUCCAGUUUGGACUGAACCAACAUCUCUUUUCUACGUUUGGCCAUCUCUUUGUCCUUUUAAUUUUAAUACUUAAACUCAUCAAUCAAUCCUUUGAUUUAUGUGAUAGGCCUGCAUUUAAGAUGAAUAUUUACCAUAAAUUAAAGGUAUCUUAUAGUAUCAGACUUGUUAUUAUAAAAUAUGUUUUCAUUAAGGAGUUAUUGAUACUUCAAAUGUAAAAUGAUGAUAUAAAACAUUGAUAAAAAUGCACUUUUAAGUACUAAUCACUUGCCUUUUCCUCUAUGGUCCAAGACGGGCUUGAGCUUGGCGGCUAACAUGGUAGGCAAGUCAUUGUCUUAUGAUGAGCAAACAUACAACUGCACUCACUUGGAAUAUGUGAUAGUUUAUAUAGAGUUUGAUGCAUUGCUCCCUUUCAUAAACUAAUAUGAGAUUGAGAACCCCUUAUAUGAGGAGCCGAUUUCAGUUAAGGUUGAGUAUGAGUGGAAAUUAAAACAAUAUGAGAAAUGUAGUUUGUUUGGCCAUGUUUGUUCAGUUUUAGUUGCACAACCAGCAAGUGAUGAGGGUAAAGGGAAAGUAAUUGAGGCCCCAUCUUUACUAGCUGACUAUGUGUUACAGAUCCAGGGUGUGGGUGAUGCCUUAAUGGUAUGUAGCUUACAUAUUACCACUACAGUUGAAGAUGUUGCCUCUGUCAAGAAAACUAGUCGACCGGUUCAGUAUCAGACAGUCGAUCAAUUUUACCCUCUUCCAUCUUUAAUAGCCAAUGCUUUUUUAACUGGUCAGCCAUAUAAAAAUUUACAGGAAUUGGUCAAUUGGUUUCCUCUACAGACCACACCAGAGGCUGCUAAUCCAAUUGCUUCACCUCUUGUUAUAGAUGAAACCAUUUUAGGUGAUGCUGUUAGACUUGAUUUUGAUUCAAAAAAUGAUAUUCUUCAUGUUGAACAAGAUUAAACAACUUUGAUGGAGAGUGUCCCAUGUUUUGAAAGCAAAACAACUCUCUUGCCAAGCUCAUUGCCCAAACCAAAAGGAUCUCAAGUAAUCUCUACUACUAAAACCCCUUAUGUUGUUCUCUUAGGUACUGAUAUUGGUCAUCAAACUUGGGGUAAAGGGAAGGGAAAAGUGAGGAAAGGGCUUUUAUGGCCUAAUGAGUUCCUUUUUGUUUUGUUUAUCCUUUCUUUAUAUCUAUGUUUAAUAUAGGAAGUUGGAAUAUAUGGAGACUUAAUAGGCCCUAAAAAAAGUUAAAAACUACACUCUUAAGUAUAAUCUUGGUAUUAUUGGACUGUUGGAGACUAAGAUUGCUAUGGCUAAUAUGGGUGUAGUUAAAUUGGGUCUUGCACUAUCUUCUUGGACUUUUCUUUCUAAUGUUAGUGUUUACUCUAGAUGUCGUAUUCUAGUGGGUUGGGAUCCUUUUCGAUAUAGUCUUUCUUGUGUUCAUACUACUGAGCAGUGGGUUACCUGUGAUGUUAUUAUUCUCCUUUUUUAAUAUUUCUUUUAGUGUGACUUUUAUUUAUGGCUUAAAUACACCUACCAGAUGUAGGCUUCCAUGGGAUUGUAUUUGUCAACAAACUCUUUUUUUUUUCUUCCAUACUAUGGGUUUUGAUGGGGGAUUUUAGUGCCAUUUUGAGAUCUGCUGAUAAAUCAGACGAAAAUAGAACUUGGUAUAACACACACACACACACAUGCACGCGCACACACACACACAUAUAUAUAUAUAUAAUGAUUUGUGUUGUUGUAUCCAUGAUUUAGAGCUAGUACAUGUACCUUAUACAAGUUGAAGUUCUUAUGGUAUAAUGGUCAAUAAGGAAGGGAUGCUAUUUUGAAGAAAUUAGAUUGGAUUUUUGUUAACCUUUCACUCUUUGUUUUUUUCCUCCUUGGCUGAAUGCUUACUUUUUUGGAUAUGGUAUGAUUGGUUUGGCAAUUAAAGGUUAGUGGCAACCCUAUUUACAUAUUCAUUUCCAAGCCCUGCUUACUAAAGCCUAAGCUUAGGACCUUGCAUUGUCAUCAUACUAGUCAUAUAUAUAGUAGGGUGACUAAGGCAAAGAACCAAUGCAAUAAAAAGGUUUUGCUUUAUGAAACAUUUCCGGGAAGCUUUUUAUUGCUGAAAGGGAUCUUGUUAGAAUAUACCUUCAGUUAUGCUAGGAUGAGAAGGCCUUUUACAAAUAGUGGUCUAAGGUUUAGUGGCUUUAGCUUGGUAAUAGGAAUACUAAGUUCUUCCAUAGAUCUCUGAUCCACAGGUAGAUUAGGAACAUGAUUUAUAAGUUAACUAAUGAGGCAAGGAUUAAGGUUCAUGAUCAGCAGGGUCUUAGUCAGUUAGCAGUUCAUUACUUUCAAAACCUCUUAGCAGCCCCUAUAUUCUCACAUGAUAUGGAUGUCUCUAGGUAUUAUUCAUCUACAAUCUCUAAUGCUUUGUUGCCUAUCUUAGAGAUGGAUUUUACAGAUGAGGAAAUUAAGGUAACCUUGUUCUCCAUACCGGAUGACGCACUUUGGCCAGAUGGCUUCACCUAUUUGUUCUUCAAAAAAAGUUGGGCUAUUAUUAGGGUGGAUCUCAUAGCUUCAAUCUAGUAUUUCUUUGAUCAUUGCAAUCUUUCCAGGUGUAAAAAUGCUAUUAGAAUUGCUUUAGUGCCUAAGGUUGAGAACCCAAAUAAUAUGAAUGACUUUAGACCUAUAUCUUAUUGUAAUGUUAUAUAUAAGUGUAUCUCUAAGAUCAUCAUGAGCAAAUUAAAGCAAAUGUUACCUGAUACGAUUGGUCUUUCUCAAUAUGCUUUUAUUAUGGAAAGAUAUAUUUCAGAUUCUAUUUUGUUGACUAAGAAGCUCAUGGAUAAUUAUCACCUGGAUAGUGGCCCAAGUAGAUAUGCUCUAAAAUUGGAUCUUAUAAAGGCUUUUGACAUAAUUAGUUGGCAUUUCAUCUUUAUAGGACUCAGAGUUAUUGGCAUUCUGAAUUGUAUGGUUAGAUGGAUCCAAGUUUGUCUCUCUUUAGCUACCAUUUCCAUUACAUUGAAUGAACUAUAUGAGUUCUUUCUGUCUUUAAAGGCUUUCAGCAGGGUGACCCUUUUUUCUUCCUAUCUUUUUAUACUAGCUAUGGAAGCUUAAGAGGAUUAUUAGAAAGGCCACUCAAGACCUCAAGUUUUGGUUUAAUUGGAAAUGUAAGUAGAAUUUUAUCACCUAUAAUUGUUUUGCUGAUGAUCUUAUGGUAUCAUGUCAUGCUGAUAUAGACUUGGUGGGUAUUUUAUGAGGAGCUUUGGAUGCCUUUGUUGGGCUUUCUAGAUUAGUUAAUAACUAGGAUAAGAGUUUUGUCUACUUAUCAUGGGUGGAUGACGACCUAAGAACUACUUUUUAGGAUCAUCUAGGGCUUAAGUUAGGAGCUUUGUUGGUUAAAUAUCUUGGUGUCCUUUUGAUCACAACCAUAUUGACUCAUAAUAAUUGUAAACCUCUAAUAGAGUGGAUUAUCUCCAAGAUCAAGCUUUGAACAUCAACAUCCCUUAUUUAUGUUGGUCGUCUUCAGCUGAUCAAAUUCGAUCUUUUCUUCAUUCAGGUAUACUAGUAUACUAUAUUUAUCUUACCUUGCUUUAUUAUUAGGUGGAUUGAGAGUAUUCUAGCUGCUUUCCUUUAAAAGGGUUUCUUUCUCACCUACUCUUGGACUAGGGUUGUAUGGGCCUCAGUUUUCUACCCUCUAAAAGAGGAGGGGGGAUUAAGGGUUAAAAAGGCCAAGACUUGAAAUAGAGCAGUUAUUCUAAAGCAUGUAUACUAGUUCUUUUCAAAUAGCUUCUCGAUAUGUGCAUAAUGGUUCAUAUAUAUUUGCUUCGAGGGAGAUCCUUUUGGCAUAUUAAACUUACCUCAGCUACUUCAUGGUCCUGGAGGAAGAUUUUACUUAGUAGAGACUGAUGUAAGGGGUGUUUGUUUCUUGCAUUGGCAACGAUAUGAGUAUAUCUCUUUGGUUGGACUACUGGUUGACAUAUAAGAGAUGAUUAUGUAAUCUUCUACAUGGUUUCAUUAGAAUGCAAAGGUUGACACGACCAAAAGAUUGAUGUCUUCUUCCAAGUACAGGAGUGUCGAAGUAAUAAAUAACCCGGCAAGACCGGGGUCGAACCACAAAGAGGUUAAUUGUAUAAAUUAUAAAUAACAAUACAACAACAACAACAACAAUAAUAAUAAUAAUAAUACUCAGUAUGUGGCGUUGUUAUACCUGAGAAUGAUCUAAAAGAUAAUAAUAAUAAUAUAAACAGAUUUCUGAUGCGAAUGAACAAGGCAAUACCAACAAUGUCAGGAUCCUUGAUCAAUCACAGAGCAUACUUAACGUACAUAAAAUAUAACAAGAAUGUAAAUAAUAAUAAUAAUAAUAAUAAUAAUAAUAAUAAUAAGAUGAAGAAAUUAAUGAGAACUUUGAGAUGGAAGAUUAAUGUAAGAAUUAAACAAUGAUAAAAACAAAUGUCAAGGUUAGAGGAUUCACUAAUAAUAUUUCAAACAAGAAUAGUAUAAACUCUUAUUACUCAACUUGGAAACCACACAUGAAGGAGGUUCCAAUAGGAUGAUUUUUCAUUAAUAGCUGAUUAUAAAUUAUUAACAUGAUCAUAUUAAUUAUCUUAUUUAAGUAACACCAAACUUUUAAAUAUUGUCAGGAAUUCAUGAUGUUAACUUAUAUUAACAACAAAUCAAGUUCCUUUCAUAACACAGGUGUAGGUAAUACCAUACGGUUGCGCUAUGAGAGUGUCAAGCAUUUGUUGUACCAAGUGUUAUACAACACAAAUCUAAAUUAACUAUUUAACAAGGUAUUAAGAAUUAGUAAGAUAAAAAGAUAAGACAUGUUAAUAUUAAACAUUAAGGUCCAUAUUGAGUUUACACUAUACUUAUUCUUACACUAUUGGUGUAACAUUUUCACCUUGACAUAAUAAACUUAGCUAAACAUAAUGAAGAAGAGAAACAUAAAUAAACAAAACAAGAACAUAAAGAAAAUACAAGUUAACUAAGUAAAGGAAAGGAGAUGAAAAGCAUAAACAAGAUAUUAAUGAAAACAAAACUUAAGAAUUACAAAAAAUAUAAAGAGAGAGAUAAAGAGCAUGUUCUUGAUCUGAACAAUCAAGCCCCUAAAUACAUGGAAAAUGCCUCCUUUUAUAGGCCAAAAUUCAGAAUUAUUGAUUUGAUGACUAAUUAUUGAGUGGGUGGCCAACUCUUGACUUUGUGAAAAUCCUUAUCUUCUUGUAUGAAUACAACGAAAUUACUAUAAUCAGAAUUGGGACCACUUGAAAACAUGAAAGGUGUAGGAAAUUGACUCAGCUUUCCAGGAAAAAAAAUAGAGGUCAUUUGGACUUCUAGAACUAUAGAUAUGGGCCAAACACUAACCAAUGUUCGGGCUGCAGGACAAAUUCGGACUACUCCGUUGUUGCUAUAAUUUGGACUUGCAAACGGCCUUCUUAGAUCUUGGUGUCCACAUGAAAGUUGUAGGCCUAUGUCUUACUGAAUUUGUUUAAAAAUUUGAGAUCAUUUUGACAUCUAGAACUCGAGAUAUGACUCAAUUACCAAACAGUGUUCCAGUUUGGACUGCACCAACAUCUCUUUUCUAAGUUUGGCCCUCUCUUUGUCCUUUCAAUUUUCAUACCUGAACUCAUCAAUCAAUCCUUUGAUUUAUAUGAUAGGUCUGCAUUUAACAUGAACAUUUACCAUAUAUUAAGGCAUUUUAUAGUAUUAGACAUGUUAUUAUAAAACAUGCUUUAGUUAAGGAGUUAUUGAUACUUUAAGUGCAAAAUGAUGAUAUAAAACCUCGAUAAAUAUGCACUUUUAAGUACUAAUCAAAGGUCUUAGUAUUAAAUACUUUAAUGGGGUUGCUAAAUCUUAACACAAAUUUUCUACAUAACGAAACCCUAAGGACUAAUACAAUAAAAUAGUUCCAGAAAUCCCUGAAUUGAAUGUUGAAAUUGAAAAAAAUAAAUAAAAAAUUUCAUUAAUUUGAAUGUUCCUAAAAAACUUUUACAUUGAAUUAACUCCUUCAAGCUCGACAAUUGAAUAAAAAAGGGUUAUUAUAAUUUUGAGCAAGUCGUCAUGGUGAAAUCUGUAGACAUGCCGCUCUUCGAAAGCAAUGCUAGAGCAUCUCAAUUCGAGUUCGAGUGGUGGCAUAAUAUUUUUAAAUUAUCUAAUUAUUAAAAAGAUAGAAUAAAUUAUAUAAUGAAUUCAAUUUCGUAUGUAGAAUUAUAGAUACAUGAUUGUUAGUUAUUCAUUGUAUUUAUUUAAGAUAUUUACCAAUAAAUGAUGUAUACAAAUCAUUAAUAUUUCUUUCAUGGAUUUUCACUAUUAUUCAUAUGGUUUCAUAUUUUUAAGCACAAUAACAACACAAAGUACUUUUUUAACCCAAGGAUUUGCUACUUGGGGUCUUUAACUAACAUGCAUUAAUCUAAAAUCUUAGUACUAGCUCUCCAAUCCUAGUUGUUAAUAAUGCACGUAGGUAUGAUGCUAUCAGACUAUGCAACUCUUUUAUAUGGAUCAUUAUUAUCAGUAGUACUUCUAAUAAUUACAUUUCAAAAAGUAAUAAGAGUUGUUGGCAAAAACAAUAAUUUAUGAAAUGAUUCAUUUCCUGUUGAUGAGAUCCAAUUCAUGAUGGAAAAAAAUAAUUUUUAAAAAUAAUUUUUUUCCUUCUUCUAGGAAUCAUUACAGGUUUCAAUUAGUUCAACAAUUAGAUAAUUGAGGUUUUUGUAUUCUUAGUAUAGGGUUUUUUUUUUUAAACCAUAGGUAUUCUUUCAAGAGCAGUUUGGGCUAAUGAAGCAUGAGGAUUAUAUUGGAAUUGGAACCCGAAAGAAACUUGGGCAUUUAUUACUUGAACCAUAUUCGUGAUUUAUUUCCAUACUCAAACAAAUAAAAAUUUGAAAGGUUUAAAUUCUACAAUUGUCGCUAUUAUCGUUUUCUUAUAAUCUGGAUAUUCUAUUUUGGGGUUAAUUUAUUAAGAAUAGGACUACAUAAUUAUGAUUAUUUACAUUAAUAUCUAAUUGAAUUGAAGAAAGAGUUUGACAAGUAUAACCAUAUAUAUAUAUAUAUAUAUAUUUCGUUUGGUAUUUAUCCGGAUUUCAUUUUCUCAUUAUCAGUUCCCAUGGUUAAAGCUAUUCUAUAUAUAUUCGGAUUCAUUAUUCCUUGAUUUCUAUUUCUUUCAAUUUUUUCAAUCAAUUUUACUCUAUAUUUUUCUUUUCCCUCUUUUUAAUGCUUGCCAAUGAUUGCUUUUUCUUCUCCUUUUUUUUCCCUGACUUAUUUAAUACUUUUUUCACUCAUUUUAUUUUGAUAUAUUUAUUUAUUUUUAUCAUUCAUUUUCCACUCACUUAUUUUUUUUAAUUUUAUUUUGUUUAAAAGAUUGAUAUAAAAAAUAAACUAAUGUGCUACAAAAAUAUGAAAUGACUGUAAUGUUGAAAAAUUGAUCAAAUUGCAUUGAAAAGGUAUUUUCAUAGAAGUUUUGUAAUUUUUUUACUUGAAAAUAUAUUGAAAAAAUAAGGGUAAAAAAUACUCAAAAAUUGUAUUUUUUUUAUAAUACUCAUAGCAUGAAGACAUUGGAGAACUCAUUUUUCUUUAGCUUGUUUAGUAAGUUUGCAAAGAAAAGAAAAAUAAUGCAAGAAAAGAAAAAUAUUUUUGUAUUUUAAAGUUUUGUGUGCAAUAAUUAUAGAAUGAAAAUAAAAAUGAUUAUAUAAAAAGAUGACCCUAAAUUUAAAAGGAUCAAGUUGAGAGGUGACCAAGUAAGAAAAACCAUCUUGAUUGCAGGAUUUGGUUUGGUAUACUUAAUUGGAGGGUUAAGUCGUAUUAUUUUAGGAUUCGACUCAAGAUGUUAUUAUAAUAGGUUGAGCCUUAUAAUUGCAGGGUAUAUUGAACUUGAUAUCUACUUAUACCUCUUUUUUUAUAUCAUCAUGAGAAAACAAAAUAGAUAAUUAGAGAUAAAUUAAAAUAUGGCUAGUUUAUAGAGUAACCAACUCGAAUGAAUUUUUAUUAUGUCAUUUUAUAAAGUGAUGAAGUCAAAGUAAUUUUUAUCAUAUCAUUUUGUAAAGUGAUGAAGUUGAAGUGAUUUUAUUAUGUUAUUUUGUAAAGUGAUGAAGUUGAAGUGAUUUUAUUAUGUUAUUUUAUAAAGUGAUGAACUUGAGGUAAUUUUUAAUAUGUCAUUUUAUAGAGUGGCAAACUCGAAGAGGUUUUCAUAAUGUCAUUUUAUUAAAUGAUGAACUGAGAGAGAUUUUUAUCAUGUUAUUUUAUAGAGUGACAAACUCGAAAUGGUUUUCAAUAUGUGAUUUUAUAGAAUAAAGAGCUUGAAUGAAUUUUUACCAUGUCAUUUUAUAGAGUAACAUACUCAAAGUUGUUUUUCAAUAUGUCAUUUUAUAAAUGAUGAACUCAAAGUGAUUUUAAAAAUAAAAUCAUUGUAUAUAGUCAUUGUAUAUAGUGUCGAACUCGAAGUGAUUUUCAACAUGUUAUUUUAUAUAGUUAUAAGCUCUAAGGAUUUUCAACAUGUCAUUUUAUACAAUGAUAAGCAUUACUUAAAAUCAAAAAGGGAUAAAAUUGAGAGGUGACUAAUCUAGACAUAAAAUUAAAUGGAUCAAAUUAAAAGGCAACCAACCUCAACAUAAAAUUAAUAAAUCAAAUCGAGAGCAGAUCCAACUUUAUUAUGAAAAAAAUUAUUUUUUUUUUGAAAAUUCUAUAAUUGGAACAAAUUAUGAAAAAGCAUUCAACUCGAACAAAUUAAAAACUAAAAUUGACAAGAGCUUUUACCAACCCAAAACAAGUUAGAUAAUAAAUAUUUUGCAAAGCACUUGGCUCAAAAAAGAUUGUUCCAAAGGUUGAAGGUUAUACUUGUAACCUCAACUUAUUCUAGUUUUAGUUUUUACUAGUACCUCUUGAAGUUAAGGAAAAACACAAGUUAUAUAUAUUGAAAGCUCAAUCUUUCUUGACAUCAUCUAUAUCUUUAAAGAUUUUUAAAUUGGAAGUAUACUUGUCAUUAUCUCAAGUGUAGUUUAAGCUUAUCUUUCUACUAUUCAUUUUUUAUUAUUUUAUUGAUGUUGUUAUCUCUUUUUACUCUUAGCUUGUAAUAAAGUUUUUCAAGUAAUCAUUCAAGAAACCCUAAAAACAGUCUUAAAAUAUAAAAUCAAAUCGGGUUAGAUUUUUUUUCCUCGACUUCAAUCUAAUCUUUAGGUAAUAUUGAGAUUUUAAACAACCAUAAUCAAUUUACUUUCUAUAAUAGAACUCAUGUACACCCUAUAAAUUAAUUUAGUAGCUGAAAUAUAUGAGAACAUCAAUUUUAUUUCUCUAUGUAGGAAUUCGAUAAAACUUUCUCUCUCCCUCACAAACUAGAAACUUGAAAAUAAUAAAAAAUAAAGUUUUGUGUUAAAAUUGAAUUAAAAAAAAACAUAAGAGACUGGACAACUAAGAAUUUUAAAAUUGAAGAACUAAAUUGUAUUUUUCAUACCAUCUUUAAACACAUCACCUAUUUUUGACGGAAUUUUUAUGUUGGUCAUCUUUCUGUUAACUUUUUCUUCAAGUAUAUUUGUUAUGUCAUUUGUGACACAGUAGGUCUCUGUCCUAUCUCUCUAUUAGUUUAACCGCGAAGCCACACCUGCUCUCCUGCCAGUUCCUUUUACAUUAUGCUACUUUACUUCUCUUCUGUCCGUGCCCAGCCUCGUUCCUUCUGUUUCUCUGAUAACAACAGCGUCGCUUCUAUUGGACAUGGCAGGGAAGUUGAUGCAUGCCGUUCAAUAUAGCAGUUAUGGUGGAGGCGCCGCUGGUUUAAAGGUUAAUUGUUUUUUAACCAAAUUUCCACUUUUUGUUAGUGUAAUUGGAUGUCCCUUUUCUUUGAUGAACAUUUAGAUAGUUGGUAAUUGUUGAAAUAUGGAGAUGAAUUAUAGAUUGUUGCCCCCGUUUGUUUUUGUUUCUAAAUUAAAUAAUAAUAAUAAUAAUGGAUUAGAUGUGAUGUGAGGUUUGCUUUAAUUUUUGGUAAAAGUAGCCAAAUGAAAAGGCAUUGAUGCACCUACUGUGAGUUACUACUAUUAUAUAAUUAGUUUUGCUUGUUGCAGAAUGUUGAGGUUCCAGUCCCUAGUGCCAAGAGAGACGAGGUUUUGCUCAAGUUAGAAGCAACUAGUCUAAACGCAGCUGAUUGGAAGAUACAGAAAGGCAUCUUGCGCCCCGUUUUCCCUCGGAGAUUCCCUUACAUCCCUGGUGAUUCACUUCUUUCUUUAUGUGGAUUUUUUGUGUACAAUCUAAUUCAGACACUAUCUUACUGCUUGUUGGGGCUUUUAAUUAUACAUAAAUUCCGCCAUAUAGCCUAAUCCACAAGGAAAUUGUUCUUUGUAAUGUUAGUUGAUUGCAUGAUUUUCUUCCUUUAGGUGCUUAAGCAUGAUUUUGAUUUUGAUUUAAGUUUGUGACGGUGUGGUGUUGCAUCUAAGAAACUUUGGAAAUGAGCUUUGUUGUUCCUUUGUUUAACAUUCAGAAUGCGGGAACUUGGAAACUGACAUGCCUUCGUAAUUUUUUUUAUGGUAUAUGACAACGCAAUGCAAUAAUCUAUGCUUACCAUUUCAAACGUUUGCCUUCAGUUCAGUUAUGUCAAAGUUUUGGGAAUUUGUGUUUGGGUGUUGUUUGGCAGAAGGUUUCCUUUCCAUAGCUUGUAAACUUUUUUAAAACAAGUUAAAAAUGGAGAAACAACGGUUCUAAACUUUAUUUCCAGCACCCUUCUGAAACAUAGCUUGUAAUCCAUGUGGUUAAUAUUCUUUCAAUCUCAUGCUAAUAUAUUAAUUUCAUAGUUUUAGCAAUACUGUGUGUUUGCCAAGCACACAUUCACACACACACAUCGCGUUUACUUUUUGGCUGAAGAAACCUUUGUCGCAACAGGC
Molecule: long non-coding RNA, 15027 nt
Filed under: Populus tremula
Lineage: Eukaryota; Viridiplantae; Streptophyta; Magnoliopsida; Malpighiales; Salicaceae
Description: long non-coding RNA (PTRE_LNC000247)
Rfam family: MIR2912 microRNA precursor family (bases 3986-4140)
Source: RNAcentral